Molecule: small nuclear RNA, 161 nt
Filed under: Triticum aestivum (bread wheat)
Lineage: Eukaryota; Viridiplantae; Streptophyta; Magnoliopsida; Poales; Poaceae
Description: snRNA U1
Rfam family: U1 spliceosomal RNA
About the family: U1 is a small nuclear RNA (snRNA) component of the spliceosome (involved in pre-mRNA splicing). Its 5' end forms complementary base pairs with the 5' splice junction, thus defining the 5' donor site of an intron.
Source: RNAcentral
AUACUUACCUGGACGGGGUCGACGACUGAUCAAGAAGAGUCGUGGCCUAGGCUAGUGGUCCACAUUGCACUUGGUGGAUGCGCUGGCUUACCAUCUCCUCAAAUGGGAGAGUGGACGUCAUAAUUUGUGAUAGAGGGGGUACGCGUCCGCGCGGCCCCUGC